This 429-nucleotide ribosomal RNA is filed under the name Pseudomonadota bacterium. RNAcentral describes it as "Proteobacteria bacterium partial 16S ribosomal RNA". It matches the Rfam family "Bacterial small subunit ribosomal RNA", at positions 355 to 776 of the family's 1533-position model. The record is from RNAcentral. Lineage: Bacteria; Pseudomonadati; Pseudomonadota.
UGGGGUAUAUUGGACAAUGGGCGAAAGCCUGAUCCAGCCAUGCCGCGUGUGUGAAGAAGGUCUUCGGAUUGUAAAGCACUUUAAGUUGGGAGGAAGGGCAGUAAGCGAAUACCUUGCUGUUUUGACGUUACCGACAGAAUAAGCACCGGCUAACUCUGUGCCAGCAGCCGCGGUAAUACAGAGGGUGCAAGCGUUAAUCGGAAUUACUGGGCGUAAAGCGCGCGUAGGUGGUUCGUUAAGUUGAAUGUGAAAGCCCCGGGCUCAACCUGGGAACUGCAUCCAAAACUGGCGAGCUAGAGUAGGGCCGGGGGUGGUGGAAUUUCCUGUGUAGCGGUGAAAGGCGUAGAUAUAGGAAGGAACAACAGUGGCGAAGGCGACCACCUGGGCUAAUACUGACACUGAGGUGCGAAAGCGUGGGGAGCAAACAGG